Molecule: long non-coding RNA, 877 nt
Organism: Carassius auratus (goldfish)
Lineage: Eukaryota; Metazoa; Chordata; Actinopteri; Cypriniformes; Cyprinidae
Exons: 4
Source: RefSeq, a predicted model, not a curated record
AUAUGCUGUCAGCUCAUUACAAAAAUACAUAAGCUCUCACAUUCAAUUACUCACUUAGCAACGAAAGAUUAGUUUGCGGGAGCUGCCAACACCGUUGCCUUCGCGGGGUCAAGAGAGUGAGACUGUAAUCAUAGCAGUUUGAGAACCGCUAGUGUAUCGCUUUCUCUUUCACUCCCUCUCGAUUCCUCCUGCAGCCCGCUCUCCUGACCCUACCGCUCGAGUCAACCCAUAACGCUGAUAAAUAUUUACUCUAGAGCAGUUCUUUUUUUCCCUUGGGUCUUAAGUGAAUUUCAUAGUUCAUAAAACAUCACACGGGUUCUUUAAUGAGAACUUCCCGCUUCUGCUACAGGGCCCUCGCGAGUCUCGGAUUGUGUGUGUUAAAUUCAAGGCAGAGAAGUGUAAAGCCAUCCGCACUGAAUCCCACCCAGCGACUCACUUUGACUCGUAGUAGUCAAAUACGGCGAAAUUUCGCGGGAAAAAUCCAGUCUUUCCGCGUUGCUUGUUCAGUCUGAGGAUGGAGAAGUCCACCACGGUCAUAUUCACGUUGGUCACUCGCAAUUUUUUGGUUCUAAAGUCACGACCGUCUCUGGGAAAAGCACACGGGGCUCGAAAAGUUAGCAAACGCUCGCAGAGCAGUUCAUUUGUCACGGAGGCCAUUUUAUAAGUUUCUCAAAAUGCACCACAGAGGAUGGCCAACACCCGUUUCUAUCUUUAGAUGGGGGAAUCCACCCAAAGCUGUCACUCAUGUGGUAAAAUCUCUAAGAAAAAAGGUGCACCUUUCGUGCCAGCUGCUCUCGUGUGCCAACAUCAGGGUAUUUGGUUUCUUGGAAAAGGUUCUCCAGUGCCUCCAGUUGCUCGUCGGUGAAAAUGGUUCGGU